UGAGGAAUAUUGCACAAUGGGCGGAAGCCUGAUGCAGCAACGCCGCGUGAGGGAGGAAGGCCUUCGGGUCGUAAACCUCUUUUCUGGGGGACGAGCAAGGACGGUACCCCAGGAAUAAGUCUCGGCUAACUACGUGCCAGCAGCCGCGGUAAAACGUAGGAGGCGAGCGUUAUCCGGAUUUACUGGGCGUAAAGCGCACGCAGGCGGCGGCAGUCGUCGGACGUGAAAGCUCCCGGCUUAACUGGGAGAGGUCGUUCGAGACGCUGUGGCUUGAGGUUGGGAGAGGGGUGUGGAAUUCCCGGUGUAGUGGUGGAAUGCGUAGAGAUCGGGAGGAACACCUGUGGCGCAAGCGGCACCCUGGCCCACACCUGACGCUGAGGUGCGAAAGCGUGGGGAGCAAACAGG
Molecule: ribosomal RNA, 405 nt
Filed under: uncultured prokaryote
Also listed under: 1 other name
Description: bacterial SSU rRNA
Rfam family: Bacterial small subunit ribosomal RNA
Source: RNAcentral